AGCAAAAUCCUUUGUCUUGAAGAAAAAAAAAAUCAGAAUUGAUUAAAGGUCAUCUCUUAUAACCACAGCCCCACUACUGUCAGCUGAAGUUUGUAGUUCUACAAUAGGAGAAUAUGUCCUGAGUCUAUGGAAAUUUAAAUGACUUAAUAAUAAAGAAAAAGAGAAAAGACCAAGAAAACUAGGUAUACCAGUUAAUCAGAUCUUUAAAAAAACUAUUAAAGAGAGUCGCGAGCGAGGGAGCCUGAGAUUGUACGACUGCACGAGCGAAGCAAUGCCUAAGUCAAAGGAACUUGUUUCUUCAAGCUCUUCUGGCAGUGAUUCUGACAGCGAAGUUGACAAAAAGUUAAAGAGGAAAAAGCAAGUUGCUCCAGAAAAACCUGUGAAGAAGCAAAAGACUGGUGAAACUUCAAGAGCUCUGUCAUCUUCCAAACAGAGCAGCAGCAGCAGAGAUGAUAACAUGUUUCAGAUUGGGAAAAUGAGGUAUGUUAGUGUUCGGGACUUUAAAGGGAAAGUUCUAAUUGAUAUUAGAGAAUAUUGGAUGGAUCCAGAAGGUGAAAUGAAACCAAGAAGAAAAGGUAUUUCUUUAAAUCCGGAGCAAUGGAGCCAGCUGAAGGAACAGAUUUCCGACAUUGAUGAUGCAGUAAGAAAACUGUAAAAUUCGAGCCAUAUAAAACCUGUACUGUUCUAGUUGUUUUAAUCUGUCUUUUUACAUUGGCUUUUGUUUUCUAAAUGUUGUUUUCCAAGCUAUUGUAUGUUUGGAUUGCAGAACAAUUUGUAAGAUGAAUACUUUUUUUAAUGUGCAUUAUUAAAAAUGUUCUGAGUGAAGCUAAUUGUCAUGUUUAUCAAGGAGGAUUGCUUUGUGCCCACCACCUAGUGUAAAAUAAAAUGGAAUAAUACAAUCUCAGCUGUUGUGGCCUUUUUUGAUCAGAAGAUACUGUUUAAGGCCCAAAGUAACAGUUUUAUAGACCUUUUAGUUUCAAUUCACCUUUUACAAUAAGAAGGAUUUGUGUUUAUAAACUUUUGGUUUGUGAAAUCCAUACUUGAUCUUUUCUCUUCCAACCAAAUUUUUAGACUUGUUUGACUUUUCCACUCCAAGGAUAUUUCACUCUUUUCUUUUUUACUUCAUUUUCUUUUAAUAACUUAACCUCUUCCAGUUUAGUUUUCAUUUUACUCUCUACUAUUUUCCUUGAAUAUAUUCUAAUUUGAAAAGUCAGUAAAACCAUCAAAAUAUUAUGUCAAUAAGGUUACUUAUAUGAGAACUACAAUCACUAAAUCUACUGUAUUAAAUAUUAGCAGAUAUAGUUUGAUAAGCAACAUAGCACGUAUGAAAACUCUGAGCAAGUGUAUGUCAUUACCCAUAGUGUUCUGUGUAGUUAUCUUAUUGCCUAGUCUGCAGAAAAUAAUGACUUAGGUGAGAUGUCUGAUUUGCUUUCACUUAUUAAACAUGUUCACCAUGGGAUGAUGUCUAUAAAAUCAAAUGUUAAACUAGACUAGGAUUUAAUAAAAAUUGUGAAAGCU
Molecule: non-coding RNA, 1518 nt
Organism: Microcebus murinus (gray mouse lemur)
Lineage: Eukaryota; Metazoa; Chordata; Mammalia; Primates; Cheirogaleidae
Source: RefSeq, a predicted model, not a curated record